GACGAACGCUGGCGGCGUGCUUAACACAUGCAAGUCGAACGAAGUGGCGAACGGGUGAGUAACGCGUAAUCAACCUGCCCUUCAGAGGGGGAAAACAGUUGGAAACGACUGCUAAUACCGCAUACUGAAGGAGGGGAUUGCGUCUGAUUAGCUAGUUGGAGGGGUAACGGCCCACCAAGGGGAUGAUCAGUAGCCGUUCUGAGAGGAUGAACGGCAACAUUGGGAAUGAGACACGGCCGAGACUCCUACGGGAGGCAGCAGUGGGGAAUCUUCCGAAAUGGACGAAAGUCUGACGGAGCAACGCCGCGGUAAUAC
RNAcentral lists this ribosomal RNA (315 nucleotides) under uncultured bacterium. Its description in RNAcentral is "partial 16S ribosomal RNA". It matches the Rfam family "Bacterial small subunit ribosomal RNA", at positions 28 to 409 of the family's 1533-position model. The record is from RNAcentral.